Molecule: ribosomal RNA, 422 nt
Filed under: uncultured bacterium
Lineage: Bacteria
Description: bacterial SSU rRNA
Rfam family: Bacterial small subunit ribosomal RNA
Source: RNAcentral
UGGGGAAUAUUGGGCAAUGCCCGCAAGGGUGACCCAGCAACGCCGCGUGGAGGAUGAAUGUCGUAAGAUUGUAAACUCCUGUUAGAGGGGAAGAAUAGUACCGGUUGGACCGGUAUAUGACUGUACCCUCAGAGAAAGCCCCGGCUAACUACGUGCCAGCAGCCGCGGUAAUACGUAGGGGGCAAGCGUUGUCCGGAUUUACUGGGUGUAAAGGGCGCGCAGGCGGGAUAAAAAGUCAGUGGUGAAAUCCUACAGCUUAACUGUAGAACUGCCUUUGAUACUUUUAUUCUUGAGUUCGGGAGAGAGAGACGGAAUUCCAGGUGUAGUGGUGAAAUACGUAGAUAUCUGGAAGAACACCAGUUGCGAAGGCGGUCUCUUGAUCCGACACUGACGCUGAGGCGCGAAAGCGUGGGGAGCAAACA